RNAcentral lists this microRNA precursor (103 nucleotides) under Marmota monax (woodchuck). Lineage: Eukaryota; Metazoa; Chordata; Mammalia; Rodentia; Sciuridae. The record is from RNAcentral.
AGGAAUUUAACUGGGUCAAAUGGUGGUUCCAUUCCAGAUUUUCUAAGGAAUCUCCACACUGCUUUUCAAAGUGGUUGUAGCAUUUUGCAAUCCCACCAGCAAU